This 479-nucleotide unclassified non-coding RNA is filed under the name Anelosimus domingo. RNAcentral describes it as "partial contains 16S ribosomal RNA and tRNA-Leu (trnL)". The stretch from base 77 to 376 matches the Rfam family "Bacterial large subunit ribosomal RNA", at positions 2074 to 2646 of the family's 2925-position model. Lineage: Eukaryota; Metazoa; Arthropoda; Arachnida; Araneae; Theridiidae. The record is from RNAcentral.
AAGGUUAUACAUUCAAAUUUCUUUAUUAAUUUUUUAUAAAUAAUUUAUAUUAAAUAUAAAAAUAUAUUUUUAAAUAAAAAAGACGACAAGACCCUAUUAAAUUUAACUUAUAGUUUAGCUGGGGAAGCUUUUUAAAUAAAAUUUUUAUAUAAUUUUUAAAAAUAUAUUUAAUAAAAUUAAAAAUAAAACAAAUUACUAUAGGGAUAACAGCGUUAUAUUUUUUAAAAGUUCUUAUUUAAAAAAAUGAUUGCGACCUCGAUGUUGAAUUAUAUUUUCUAUAUUAAUGCAAUAAUUAUAAAAGUAGAUCUGUUCGAUCUUUAAAAUAUUACAUGAUUUGAGUUCAAACCGGUGUAAACCAGGUUGGUUUCUAUCUUUUUAUAUAUAUAUAUUUUUUUAAGUACGAAAGGAAAAAAAAAAAUUUAUUUUAAUUAUUUAGCAAAUUAAUAUGCAUUAGAUUUAGAAUCUAAAUAAAAUAUUAU